This is a non-coding RNA of Mycena crocata, 94 nucleotides long. The record is from the annotation of a GenBank genome assembly. Lineage: Eukaryota; Fungi; Basidiomycota; Agaricomycetes; Agaricales; Mycenaceae.
GGUUGUGUAGUGUAGCGGUUAUCACAGUAGAUUCUGAUUGGCUGAACAUAAUCUCAGAUUUCUAUUAACCCCGGUUCGAUUCCGGGCACGACCU